RNAcentral lists this ribosomal RNA (460 nucleotides) under uncultured bacterium. Its description in RNAcentral is "partial 16S ribosomal RNA". It matches the Rfam family "Bacterial small subunit ribosomal RNA", at positions 338 to 795 of the family's 1533-position model. The record is from RNAcentral.
CCUACGGGUGGCAGCAGUGAGGAAUAUUGGUCAAUGGCCGUAAGGCUGAACCAGCCAAGUCGCGUGAAGGAAGAAGGAUCUAUGGUUUGUAAACUUCUUUUAUAGGGGAAUAAAGGUAUCCACGUGUGGAUAUUUGCAUGUACCCUAUGAAUAAGCAUCGGCUAACUCCGUGCCAGCAGCCGCGGUAAUACGGAGGAUCCGAGCGUUAUCCGGAUUCAUUGGGUUUAAAGGGUGCGUAGGUUGUUUUAUAAGUUAGCGGUGAAAUACCGAUGCUCAACAUCGGGGCUGCCGCUGAUACUGUAGGACUAGAGAUCGGAUGCAGCAGGCGGAAUGUGUAGUGUAGCGGUGAAAUGCAUAGAUAUUACACAGAACACCGAUUGCGAAGGCAGCUUGCUAGGCCGGAUCUGACACUGAUGCACGAAAGCGUGGGGAUCGAACAGGAUUAGAUACCCCAGUAGUC